GACGAAGGUGGCGAGCGUUGUUCGGAAUCACUGGGCAUAAAGCGCACGUAGGCGGCAGAGUAAGUCGGAUGUGAAAUCCCUCGGCCUAACCGAGGAACUGCGUCCGAUACUGCUUUGCUUGAGGAUCAAAGGGGUGCAUGGAACUUCCGGUGGAGCGGUGAAAUGCGUUGAUAUCGGAAAGAACGCCGGCGGCGAAAGCGGUGCACUGGUUGAUCUCUGACGCUGAGGUGCGAAAGCCAGGGGAGCAAACGGG
This 253-nucleotide ribosomal RNA is filed under the name uncultured bacterium. Its description in RNAcentral is "partial 16S ribosomal RNA". It matches the Rfam family "Bacterial small subunit ribosomal RNA", at positions 524 to 776 of the family's 1533-position model. The record is from RNAcentral.